Molecule: non-coding RNA, 96 nt
Organism: Acanthosepion pharaonis
Lineage: Eukaryota; Metazoa; Mollusca; Cephalopoda; Sepiida; Sepiidae
Source: the annotation of a GenBank genome assembly
GUUGAAACACCGAUUCUCGUACGAUCAACGACGUUAAGCAACAUUACGCCUUGUCAGUACCUAGAUGGGUGACCCCAUGGGAAUACCAGGUGCUAU